Molecule: ribosomal RNA, 253 nt
Filed under: uncultured bacterium
Lineage: Bacteria
Description: partial 16S ribosomal RNA
Rfam family: Bacterial small subunit ribosomal RNA
Source: RNAcentral
UACGAAGGGGGCUAGCGUUGCCCGGAAUCACUGGGCGUAAAGCGCACGUAGGCGGAUCGUUAAGUCAGGGGUGAAAUCCUGGAGCUCAACUCCAGAACUGCCUUUGAUACUGGCGACCUUGAGUUCGGGAGAGGUGAGUGGAACUGCGAGUGUAGAGGUGAAAUUCGUAGAUAUUCGCAAGAACACCAGUGGCGAAGGCGGCUCACUGGCCCGAUACUGACGCUGAGGCGCGAAAGCGUGGGGAGCAAACGGG